RNAcentral lists this long non-coding RNA (310 nucleotides) under Androctonus crassicauda. The record is from RNAcentral. Lineage: Eukaryota; Metazoa; Arthropoda; Arachnida; Scorpiones; Buthidae.
GAAAAGUGAAGUCAGAUCAGCAGAGGACAUUCAUUAAUUAUUGAGUUAAAUACACCCCUCUAACCGCAGGAAAUCUUUUAUCUGCAACAGCGGAUGCUGGAAGAUUAUAUAUACUGGUCAAAAAUGGAAAUAAGGGGCAAACUCGAAAAAGGUCGAACAGGAGAAAGGUUGAACACGAGAGAGGUCGAACGUGAGAAGGAGCCAGAAAGAAAUAACGGAGAAAAUCAGUUGUCCCCGCUACCUUCCCGAGAAGACAUUCAACAUCCCGAUGGUGUAUCAAAGUACUGCGAGAAGAAGAGCACCAUCGAGG